UCGGCCAUAUUUAGGGAGUCGGACACUUAUAUGCACUCAACAACAUACAUAAUCUUUUGGGGUUCUAGCCAUCCUUAUUUAUUUAGAGCUGAUGGCUUGGGCCCAAAUGGUAAUUUGGGGCCGAUGAGCAUAACUUGGGGCUCCUUAUAGAUUAUGGGCCACUCAAACAUAACUAGGGCCUAAAUGGUAAUUUGGGACCGCUCAAGCAUAACUUGGGCCCCUUGCUGAUAUAAUUGUUGAAUCCUGGACCUGACCCAACCAAAUUUGGACCAAGCACAAACAUUACCCCCUUCC
Molecule: long non-coding RNA, 294 nt
Filed under: Prunus persica (peach)
Lineage: Eukaryota; Viridiplantae; Streptophyta; Magnoliopsida; Rosales; Rosaceae
Description: long non-coding RNA (PPER_LNC006930)
Source: RNAcentral